UACGUAGGAUGCGAGCGUUAUCCGGAUUUAUUGGGUUUAAAGGGUGCGCAGGCGGCACGGCAAGCCGGCGGUCAAAUCGCGGGGCUCAACCCCGCCUAGCCGUCGGAACUGCCGGGCUAGAGUGGGCGAGAAGUGCGCGGAAUGCGUGGUGUAGCGGUGAAAUGCAUAGAUAUCACGCAGAACUCCGAUUGCGAAGGCAGCGCACCGGCGCCCUACUGACGCUCAGGCACGAAAGCGUGGGUAUCGAACAGG
RNAcentral lists this ribosomal RNA (252 nucleotides) under uncultured bacterium. RNAcentral's name for it is "partial 16S ribosomal RNA". It matches the Rfam family "Bacterial small subunit ribosomal RNA", at positions 524 to 776 of the family's 1533-position model. The record is from RNAcentral.